CGUGAACGGGGGUAACCCCUAGUAAAGUGGCGUACGGGUGAGUAACACGUAGGUAAUCUACCCUAGAGUCUGGAAUAACCUGCCGAAAGGCGGGCUAAUACUGGAUAGAGCGACGGAAUCCGUAAUUGGGUUUUUCGGGAAAGGGAGCUCGCAAGAGCCCUCGCUUUAGGAUGAGCCUGCGUCCCAUUAGUUAGUUGGCAGGGUAACGGCCUACCAAGACAGUGAUGGGUAGCUGGUCUGAGAGGAUGAUCAGCCACACUGGAACUGAAACACGGUCCAGACUCCUACGGGAGGCAGCAGUGGGGAAUCUUGCGCAAUGGACGAAAGUCUGACGCAGCCACGCCGCGUGAGUGAAGAAGGCCUUCGGGUUGUAAAGCUCUGUCGCUCGGGACGAAAAGUUUGGGAUUUAAAAGAUCUCAGAUCUGACGGUACCGAGAGAGGAAGCACCGGCUAACUCCGUGCCAGCAGCCGCGGUAAUACGGAGGGUGCAAGCGUUGCUCGGAAUUAUUGGGCGUAAAGGGUAGGUAGGUGGUCUCAUUUGUCUAUGGUGAAAGCCUUGGGCUUAACCUGAGAAGUGCCGUAGAAACGGUGAGACUGGAGUCCUGGAGAGGAUCGUGGAAUUCCCGGUGUAGCGGUGAAAUGCGUAGAGAUCGGGAGGAACACCAGAGGCGAAGGCGGCGAUCUGGACAGGAACUGACACUCAACUACGAAAGCGUGGGUAGCAACAGGAUUAGAUACCCUGGUAGUCCACGCUGUAAACGAUGGGUACUAGGCUUGGUGGGACUUGACCCCUGCCGAGCC
This 801-nucleotide ribosomal RNA is filed under the name uncultured bacterium. RNAcentral describes it as "bacterial SSU rRNA". It matches the Rfam family "Bacterial small subunit ribosomal RNA", at positions 67 to 847 of the family's 1533-position model. The record is from RNAcentral.